Molecule: long non-coding RNA, 1494 nt
Filed under: Felis catus (domestic cat)
Lineage: Eukaryota; Metazoa; Chordata; Mammalia; Carnivora; Felidae
Description: lncRNA (ENSFCAG00000049236.1)
Source: RNAcentral
CGUUCUUCAUCGACGCACGAGCCGAGUGAUCCACCGCUAAGAGUCGUACGAGUUUUUGUGAUCGCCGGGAGGGCCAACCCCGAAAAGGGGCGCCCCCCCAACCUGGCACAGCACAUCCCCGAAGGGUGCCUCCGGCCGGCCAGCAAGAGACAACAAAGACCAGACUCCAAGAGGUCGGAAGGGUUGGAACGACAGGGCAAGUCCGGCAGCCCGCCCCAGCCACGCGGACGCGCGGGGCGAGCUCGGAACAAACCCCACAGGCGCCCAGGGGGUUCCCGCCUGUCUUCUCCCCCCAUCCAGGGCCGCCGGGGCCGACCGGCCCCGGCCCCGCCCUCACCUCCGAGCACACCUUCCCCGUGGCACCGACCAACCCUCACCGUCCCCUCCCCCGCACCCGCGGCCCAGGCCCCCCCCCCGCGGGAGGGGGGCUGCGGCGGGAAGCGGGGCACGAGCGGGCAAGGGCGUGGGGGUGGCGGUUCGGGGAGGAGGCGGGGAAGGAGACGGAAAGCCGGACCCGGACCGGACCCGGGGCCUGAAGGGAGGGCGGAAGGAAGGGGGGUAAAAGGUCUGCGGGGUAGGGCAAAAAAGAGAGGCGCGCAAGGCAGGAAGACGGGCCCGGGGGGGAGGCGGCGGACGGCGGGGCGCCCCGCGUGAGCCGAGGCUCCAAGGCCCCCCGGGACAGGCGAGAACCCGACCGGGGAGACGCCACGGGGACCCACCGCCAAGCCGCGCAUCCCGAGACGCGACGCGGCCAGGGCGCCAGCGCGGGGGGGGGGGGGGGCACGGCGGAGGAAGGGGACGGACGAUCCCCCCCGUCUGCACACAACACCGCCGCCGGGCCGGACGGUGGCGGCGGACACGGAGAGGAGGCCGCAGCGGGCCUGGGAAGCGCCCACACACCAGAGCGCCGGCGAAGAGCGACGGGGAACAGGACCGCGGGCCAACGGCAAGGGAGCCCCACGGGUUUCCAACCAGGCGCCUCGAGGGGGCGGACCCUGGGGCAAACCCUCGCAGAGGGCCCUCCGGCCCUGCCACCCGCAGCCGCCGCACGACCGGCCCCUGGAACGCUCUCCCGCACACGCGGCGACCCACCACCCGCGCCCCGCCCCGGCCGAACCCCCGACGCGCGCAGCCGGCGCCCCUUUCUCUCUUCUUCCCCCCAUUCCUUCGCUUCACGCGGGGCGGGGGGCGGGCGGCGGGGCGGGCGGGGCGGGCGGGGCGGGGCGGGCGGCGGGCGGGGCGGGCGGCGGGCGGGGCGGGCGGCGGGCGGGGCGGGGCGGGCGGGCGGCGGGCGGGGCGGGGCGGGCGGGGCGGGGCGGGCGGCGGGCGGGGCGGGGCGGGCGGGGCGGGGCGGGCGGGCGGCGGGCGGGCGGCGGGCGGGGCGGGGCGGGCGGCGGGCGGGCGGCGGGCGGGGCGGGGCGGGGCGGGGCGGGCGGGGCGGGGCGGGCGGGCGGCGGGCGGGGCGGGGCGGGGCGGGGCGGGGCGGGGCGGGGC